This 490-nucleotide ribosomal RNA is filed under the name uncultured bacterium. RNAcentral's name for it is "partial 16S ribosomal RNA". It matches the Rfam family "Bacterial small subunit ribosomal RNA", at positions 36 to 507 of the family's 1533-position model. The record is from RNAcentral.
CUUUCCCUCUUUCUUCAGGCCUAACACAUGCAAGUCGAACGGUAACAGGAAGACGCUUGCUUCUUUGCUGACGAGUGGCGGACGGGUGAGUCAUGUCUGGGAAACUGCCUGAUGGAGGGGGAUAACUACUGGAAACGGUAGCUAAUACCGCAUAACGUCGCAAGACCAAAGAGGGGGACCUUCGGGCCUCUUGCCAUCGGAUGUGCCCAGAUGGGAUUAGCUAGUAGGUGGGGUAACGGCUCACCUAGGCGACGAUCCCUAGCUGGUCUGAGAGGAUGACCAGCCACACUGGAACUGAGACACGGUCCAGACUCCUACGGGAGGCAGCAGUGGGGAAUAUUGCACAAUGGGCGCAAGCCUGAUGCAGCCAUGCCGCGUGUAUGAAGAAGGCCUUCGGGUUGUAAAGUACUUUCAGCGGGGAGGAAGGGAGUAAAGUUAAUACCUUUGCUCAUUGACGUUACCCGCAGAAGAAGCACCGGCUAACUCCGUG